AAGAUUUUAAUGAUCGAACAGAUCAAAAACUUAAACUUUUGCAUUUAAUUUUUAUCUUAAUCCAACAUCGAGGUCGCAAACUCUUUUUCUUAUAAGAACUAAAAAAAAAAAUUACG
This 116-nucleotide ribosomal RNA is filed under the name Carposina sasakii. RNAcentral describes it as "partial 16S ribosomal RNA". Lineage: Eukaryota; Metazoa; Arthropoda; Insecta; Lepidoptera; Carposinidae. The record is from RNAcentral.